GAAAUGCGAUAAGUAAUGUGAAUUGCAGAAUUCAGUGAAUCAUCGAAUAUUUGAACGCACAUUGCGCCCGCCAGUAUUCUGGCGGGCAUGCCUGUUCGAGCGUCAUUUCAACCAUCAAGCCCCCGGCUUGUGUUGGGGACCUGCGGCUGCCCGCAGGCCCUGAAAAACAGUGGCGGGCUCGCUGUCACACCGAGCGUAGUAGCAUACAUUCUCGCUCAGGGCGUGCUGCGGGUUCCGGCCGUUAAACGACCUUCAUAACCCAAGGUUGACCUCGGAUCAGGUAGGAAGACCCGCUGAACUUAAGC
This 305-nucleotide unclassified non-coding RNA is filed under the name plant metagenome. RNAcentral describes it as "partial contains 5.8S ribosomal RNA, internal transcribed spacer 2, and large subunit ribosomal RNA". The stretch from base 1 to 105 matches the Rfam family "5.8S ribosomal RNA", at positions 50 to 154 of the family's 154-position model. The record is from RNAcentral.